Molecule: non-coding RNA, 33 nt
Organism: Schistosoma mattheei
Lineage: Eukaryota; Metazoa; Platyhelminthes; Trematoda; Strigeidida; Schistosomatidae
Source: Rfam
CUGACGAGUCCCAAAUAGGAUGAAACACGCGUC